Molecule: long non-coding RNA, 948 nt
Organism: Epinephelus fuscoguttatus (brown-marbled grouper)
Lineage: Eukaryota; Metazoa; Chordata; Actinopteri; Perciformes; Serranidae
Exons: 4
Source: RefSeq, a predicted model, not a curated record
CUGACAAACCUGCUACCUGUACUGGAUCAUUAUGUUUUACUUUUGUGAUUUUUAGCGUUAUAAAUAUGUAAACUUGAUAACUUUAAGUGACGUUACAAACAGACAAAAUGUAUGUCUUUCUCGGUGGGUCGCUUUGGUCAUGGGCUUGCUAUCUGGAGAAAUGCAUUUGCCAGCAUGGUGACACAAGGGGCUGUUUCUAUAACCUGAUCGAACCCCCUGCAGCACCAGAAGUUGUCCAGAGAAAGACCCUCAACACCCAGGCUGUGUUGGAUACGUUUUCACCGCAGACUGACAUAUGAACCUUCUGUGACCCUGAGGACAUCUGGGGCUGGCCUGUUGACUGUCCCAAGAGCCAGAACAAAACAUGGUGAAGCAGCAUUUUGUUAUCAUGCAGCACAAACCUGGAAUAACCUAGCUCAAAACGUUCCUUUUCUACACUGCUUACUCCACCCUGUAAUGACUGCAAACUUAUUGUUAAACUCAAUUUUAAAUCAUUUUAAAUAAGCUUUUUAUCUUUGCACCUCUUAUCUGCACUCUUGCUCUUGUUUUUUUUUUUUUAAAUUGUUAAUCAUUUAGUAAUUAAUUUCACCUUUUAUAUCUAUUUUUCUCUUUAGUCUUUUAUUGUAAAUCUGUAUCAUUAUUCAUGUUUUAUAUUUUAUUGCUCUGUAACGCACUUUAAAUUGCCCUGGUGUAUGAAAUCUGCCACACAAAUAAAGCUGCCUUGCCUCGCAAAUCAAUUUUAAAACAUCAGGAGCGUAAUUAACCUAGAUCUCCUUGAUACCAUCACUGUGAUCCAUGACUAAAUCAGCACCUGUUUAUAAAAAGGUACAUAAUGUCAACAGCAAACUGUGCACAAAGGUUGUUUGUAGAAAACUGUUUUCACAGCGGAUUUUUUAACCUGUCAGUGGGAAAGCACAAGCGUUGCUAACGACACUUUGUUCUAUUCAA